RNAcentral lists this ribosomal RNA (459 nucleotides) under Triticum aestivum (bread wheat). Its description in RNAcentral is "partial small subunit ribosomal RNA". Lineage: Eukaryota; Viridiplantae; Streptophyta; Magnoliopsida; Poales; Poaceae. The record is from RNAcentral.
AUGAUGAAGAAGCCCCAGUGCACCUCAAGAAGCUUAGACCGUUCAUGCCAGCUCACGAUGACUCGUCCCGUGGUAGAGAACAUGAAAGAGAGGAAGGAUAAAGGACUAAGGAGAUGGAGAACCAUAAAUACUUAUGCCAUCAGAAAGAGGACAGUUGUGGACUAUCGUUUCCACAUCAAGGAGCAACAGGAGUUCUACGAGACUGUUCUUCUUAACAAGAGCCCGACUGUCAAUGACAUGAGAUGGGUAGAUUGGGAGUACAUAGAUGCUCAUCCCGACCGCUUUCUGCAUGAGAACUUAAAGACACUAGAGCUUGACGAGUUCAUUGGUACAAACUUGACUGCAUGGAAUGACGAGAUCAUUGUGCAAUUCUAUUCAACUGCAAAUUUCUACCCGGAUGGCAAAAUUAGAUGGAUGACAGAGGGAGUAGAUAUGAGUCUCCAGUUGAAGAAUAGAUAG